Molecule: ribosomal RNA, 393 nt
Filed under: uncultured Alphaproteobacteria bacterium
Lineage: Bacteria; Pseudomonadati; Pseudomonadota; Alphaproteobacteria
Description: bacterial SSU rRNA
Rfam family: Bacterial small subunit ribosomal RNA
Source: RNAcentral
GAGUUUGAUCCUGGCUCAGAACGAACGCUGGCGGCAGGCUUAACACAUGCAAGUCGAACGCCCCGCAAGGGGAGUGGCAGACGGGUGAGUAACGCGUGGGAACGUACCUUUCGCUUCGGAAUAGUCCCGGGAAACUGGGUUUAAUGCCGGAUACGCCGUAUUGGGAAAGAUUUAUCGGCGAAAGAUCGGCCCGCGUUAGAUUAGCUAGUUGGCGGUGUAAUGGACCACCAAGGCGACGAUCUAUAGCUGGUCUGAGAGGAUGAUCAGCCACACUGGGACUGAGACACGGCCCAGACUCCUACGGGAGGCAGCAGUGGGGAAUCUUGGACAAUGGGCGCAAGCCUGAUCCAGCCAUGCCGCGUGAGUGAAGAAGGCCUUAGGGUUGUAAAACUC